UUAAAUUAUUAUUUAAUUACUCUGACAAUAAAAAUUACAAUGAGUUUUAGGGUCCUCUGGCAGGCACUGACCAGCAGAAGCCAGCGGUCUAAAGACGGGCCUACCAAAGCAACAAAAGUAUUGUAAACAAAGGGUGGGAGAUAUACCCCUAAGGGCAUUUUCUCUUUUAAUGAUCCUUCCGCAGGUUCACCUACGGAAA
RNAcentral lists this unclassified non-coding RNA (199 nucleotides) under uncultured fungus. RNAcentral's name for it is "sequence contains ITS1". Lineage: Eukaryota; Fungi. The record is from RNAcentral.